RNAcentral lists this ribosomal RNA (119 nucleotides) under Salmonella enterica. RNAcentral describes it as "partial 23S ribosomal RNA". The stretch from base 1 to 107 matches the Rfam family "Bacterial large subunit ribosomal RNA", at positions 2820 to 2925 of the family's 2925-position model. The record is from RNAcentral. RNAcentral also lists the same sequence under 3 other names. Lineage: Bacteria; Pseudomonadati; Pseudomonadota; Gammaproteobacteria; Enterobacterales; Enterobacteriaceae.
CGAGUCUCCUGAAGGAACGUUGAAGACGACGACGUUGAUAGGCCGGGUGUGUAAGCGCAGCGAUGCGUUGAGCUAACCGGUACUAAUGAACCGUGAGGCUUAACCUUACAACGCCGAAG